AGAGAUUCUUGUCACAGUUUCUAGUCAUUUAUAGGCCUAUUCAUCUGUCAUCUUUUCUUCUUAAGAGUGUAGAGAUUCCAUGAGACCAACAUACUGCAUUCUACCAAAUUAAUUGGUUAGUUGCCCAUCCUUGUCAGUCAUUCCCGGAUUGAAGCUUUUGAUUGAGCAAACUCAAACUGACAUUUGUGGAUAGAGCUCUUUUCAGUAAUUUCUUGAUCUGGUAUGGAAGCUUAUUAGUCUGCGAAAGCAAAGAAAACCAAGCGGUGGCCAAGAAUUUUGAGCACAUUUUGAAGAAGACACGGUGAAGACAUCUUUGCGUUAUUUGUGAAGACAUCCAACUGAGGCAAGGAGAAGAGAUGUGGCAAUAGCAAGAGAGCACAUUCCAGUUGCUAUUUCUCAACAAUCAUAGUAGUGAGUAGGUUUCAUACUGAAACAGAAUCAUGUGAGCUAAUAGCAACAUAAUGUUGCAUAGCUUUUAAGUGUUUAUUCUACGCUGUUGAUAUGGAUGCUGCUCCGGAUUUUUCAACAUGCGGUUCCUUUGGAUGGAAAGAGUAUAUCCUUGUUACCGAUUAAUACUCCCCAUAAUAUGUUUGGUUGUUCAAUAAGUUCCAAACCUUGAGAGGAGGGUCGCGCCGUGCAGGGGAGAGAGGCAGAUUUGCAGCAUCUAGAGAUCGAAUCA
Molecule: long non-coding RNA, 679 nt
Filed under: Phoenix dactylifera (date palm)
Lineage: Eukaryota; Viridiplantae; Streptophyta; Magnoliopsida; Arecales; Arecaceae
Description: long non-coding RNA (PDAC_LNC019553)
Source: RNAcentral